GGCCUGCAAAACUUGAAGCAGCACAGAACCAAAUCAAACUGUUUGAAAUAAUAUAUAAACAUAUAUAUAUU
Molecule: long non-coding RNA, 71 nt
Organism: Octopus sinensis (East Asian common octopus)
Lineage: Eukaryota; Metazoa; Mollusca; Cephalopoda; Octopoda; Octopodidae
Exons: 3
Source: RefSeq, a predicted model, not a curated record